GACGAACGCUGGCGGCGUGCCUAAUACAUGCAAGUCGAGCGAAGUUUCUCUGGUGCUUGCACUAGAAAAACUUAGCGGCGAACGGGUGAGUAACACGUAAAGAACCUGCCUCAUAGACUGGGACAACUAUUGGAAACGAUAGCUAAUACCGGAUAACAGUAUUUCUCGCAUGAGAGAUAUUUAAAAGUUGGUUAUGCUAACACUAUGAGAUGGCUUUGCGGUGCAUUAGCUAGUUGGUGGGGUAAAGGCCCACCAAGGCGACGAUGCAUAGCCGACCUGAGAGGGUGAUCGGCCACACUGGGACUGAGACACGGCCCAGACUCCUACGGGAGGCAGCAGUAGGGAAUCUUCCGCAAUGGGCGAAAGCCUGACGGAGCAACGCCGCGUGAGUGAAGAAGGAUUUCGGUUCGUAAAGCUCUGUUGUUAGGGAAGAAUGGAUAUGUAGUAACUAUACAUGUAAGAGACGGUACCUAACCAGAAAGCCACGGCUAACUACGUG
Molecule: ribosomal RNA, 499 nt
Filed under: uncultured bacterium
Lineage: Bacteria
Description: partial 16S ribosomal RNA
Rfam family: Bacterial small subunit ribosomal RNA
Source: RNAcentral